This is a long non-coding RNA of Notothenia coriiceps (black rockcod), 187 nucleotides long. RefSeq lists it as uncharacterized. The transcript has 4 exons. The record is from RefSeq and is a predicted model, not a curated record. NCBI's taxonomy places the organism in Eukaryota, Metazoa, Chordata, Actinopteri, Perciformes, Nototheniidae.
UGUAUUUGUUCUUAACGCUGUGUGAUUAAAAGAAUAAACACAAAUACCAGGAUAGGCACACAUAUUUGCUACAUCUUGCCCCACUGAAAAGGUAUUGCACUGCCACUGAUACUGUUAAAAUAUUGGCAUAGUUCAUCCCUGUGCUGCUUGGCUCGAGCUCUGUGUGGCAAAUUAGCCAAGUAAAAAU